UACGUAGGGUGCGAGCGUUAAUCGGAAUUACUGGGCGUAAAGCGUGCGCAGGCGGUUCGUUGUGUCGGCGGUGAAAGCCCCGGGCUUAACCUGGGAAUGGCCGUCGAAACUGGCGAACUGGAGUGUGGCAGAGGGGGGUGGAAUUCCGCAUGUAGCAGUGAAAUGCGUAGAGAUGCGGAGGAACACCGAUGGCGAAGGCAGCCCCCUGGGCUGACACUGACGCUCAGGCACGAAAGCGUGGGGAGCAAACAGG
Molecule: ribosomal RNA, 253 nt
Filed under: uncultured bacterium
Lineage: Bacteria
Description: partial 16S ribosomal RNA
Rfam family: Bacterial small subunit ribosomal RNA
Source: RNAcentral